AAGAGAUAUUACAUCAACUCCAUCAGCAAUAGCAUCAUCAAAUGCUGCAAGAAUGUCAGCAUCUGAACAGCCAUCAGACCAACAUAUCUUGUACACAGCUAUACGGGCGGAGGGAAGGCCUCCUCGAGCAGUCCCUGAAGCAACGCCUAGUAAGCUUGCAUGGCUAACUACGUCCCCUGCUGCUGUUGAUGCAGUGUGGGUCCCAUGGCCUUCUGAAUCUCUUGGUGAAGCAAUUUCUCCUGGACCUACUUCUCCUUCGCUGUGGUAGUAUCGAGCUCCAAUUACUUUGCUACGAACACAUAAAAAUUUCAAAAGGUUAGGAUAUUCCUUUAAAAAUUUUUGUAUGCGUUUGCUUGUCUAAGUCAGAAACAAAGGGCUUAAAGCUUACUUGUUGCAUGUGAAAUUGGAGGAUCCUUGGCAAAUGCCCUUCCAUUUGGUUGGAGGUGGACCAAAUCCUUUGUCAUUAAAACUUUCAGACUCAGGCCAAAUUCCUGUGUCGAGCAUUCCAAUAAUGAUGUCACUUUCAUAAGUUGAUCUUGUAACAUUCAAGGGGAAACCCAUGAAGUUCCAGGACCGUGUUGUAUGGAGUUUCUUCUUUUCACUAGGGAACACAGACACUACACCUUCCAUACCUGGAAAAGACAAAACGACCAAAACUUACAUCAGAGUUAUUAAUUCUAAUGUGGGUUUUCCUCUGUUUGAAUAUAUAAAAUUUUCCUCUAUGUCCUCUUUACACCUGCCUUCUAGUAGGGCUAAGUAUUUGGUUCAAACCAAAUCGAACCGCGCCGCUCUAUUUCAGUUCAGUUUGUUUUGAACCGAUCAGUUUUUGAAUUUUGAUGAAUUUUUUAAUUUAGAUUUGAUUUUUAAGUUAUUUGGUCUAAUUUUGAUUUUAGUUUGAACCUAAUAAAUAUUAAUCAAUAAAAUUAAACAAU
This 932-nucleotide unclassified non-coding RNA is filed under the name Hevea brasiliensis (rubber tree). The record is from RNAcentral. Lineage: Eukaryota; Viridiplantae; Streptophyta; Magnoliopsida; Malpighiales; Euphorbiaceae.